RNAcentral lists this ribosomal RNA (229 nucleotides) under uncultured bacterium. Its description in RNAcentral is "partial 16S ribosomal RNA". It matches the Rfam family "Bacterial small subunit ribosomal RNA", at positions 103 to 334 of the family's 1533-position model. The record is from RNAcentral.
CCGGGUGAGUAACACGUAUCCAACCUGCCGUCUACUCUUGGACAGCUCUGAAGGAAGAUUAAUACAAGAUGGCAUCAUGAGUCCGCAUGUUCACAUGAUUAAAGGUAUUCCGGUAGACGAUGGGGAUGCGCUCCAUUAGAUAGUAGGCGGGGUAACGGCCCACCUAGUCUUCGAUGGAUAGGGGUUCUGAGAGGAAGGUCCCCCACAUUGGAACUGAGACACGGUCCAA